GAUGAAGAACGCAGCGAGAUGCGAUAAGUAAUGUGAAUUGCAGAAUUCAGUGAACCAUCGAAUCUUUGAACGCACAUUGCGCCCGGCAGUAAUCUGCCGGGCAUGCCUGUCCGAGCGUCAUUUCUACCCUCGAGCGAGUCCAGCAUCUAGGUGCUGGGCCUCGCCCGGCGUUGGAGCACUACGGGAAGCCCUGUGCUGUCCCCCGUAGGCCCCGAAAUGAAGUGGCGGUCCUGCCGCGGCGCCCCCUGCGUAGUAUAACAGCUCGCUUCGGGACCCGGUGGAGGCCUGCCGUCAAACCUAUACUCUCUAAGUUUGACCUCGGAUCAGGUAGGGUUACCCGCUGAACUUAAGCAUAUCAAUAAGCGGAGGA
Molecule: unclassified non-coding RNA, 370 nt
Filed under: soil metagenome
Description: partial contains 5.8S ribosomal RNA, internal transcribed spacer 2, and large subunit ribosomal RNA
Rfam family: 5.8S ribosomal RNA (bases 1-120)
Source: RNAcentral